GCGCAAGCCUGAUGCAGCGACGCCGCGUGAGGGAUGACGGCCUUCGGGUUGUAAACCUCUUUCACCAGGGACGAAGCGCGAGUGACGGUACCUGGAGAAGAAGCACCGGCCAACUACGUGCCAGCAGCCGCGGUAAUACGUAGGGUGCGAGCGUUGUCCGGAAUUACUGGGCGUAAAGAGCUCGUAGGCGGUUUGUCGCGUCGUCUGUGAAAUUCUGCAACUCAAUUGCAGGCGUGCAGGCGAUACGGGCAGACUUGAGUACUACAGGGGAGACUGGAAUUCCUGGUGUAGCGGUGAAAUGCGCAGAUAUCAGGAGGAACACCGGUGGCGAAGGCGGGUCUCUGGGUAGUAACUGACGCUGAGGAGCGAAAGCGUGGGUAGCGAACAGGAUUAGAUACCCUGGUAGUCCACGCCGUAAACGGUGGGUACUAGGUGUGGGUUCCUUUUCACGGGAUCCGUGCCGUAGCUAACGCAUUAAGUACCCCGCCUG
This 490-nucleotide ribosomal RNA is filed under the name Gordonia terrae. RNAcentral describes it as "bacterial SSU rRNA". It matches the Rfam family "Bacterial small subunit ribosomal RNA", at positions 375 to 875 of the family's 1533-position model. Lineage: Bacteria; Bacillati; Actinomycetota; Actinomycetes; Mycobacteriales; Gordoniaceae. The record is from RNAcentral.